This 3373-nucleotide long non-coding RNA is filed under the name Triticum aestivum (bread wheat). Its description in RNAcentral is "long non-coding RNA (TAES_LNC003952)". The record is from RNAcentral. Lineage: Eukaryota; Viridiplantae; Streptophyta; Magnoliopsida; Poales; Poaceae.
UCCCUGAUUUUAUCACUUCCGUUGACGAGUCUUGUGUCAGCAUCUUGAUGCGAGGUACAACUUCUAGGUGAUCUUCUUCAUGUUUUACGUUGUUGUACUUUUUGCUGCAAUGUGGACGUACAUAUUCUAGCAGAUAUAUCUUCAUGCUUUACCUUGUUUACCACUGCCCUGAUGUGGAGGUACAGAUUCUAGCUGAUAUAUAUCGUCAUGUUUUACCUUUUACCAACAUCCAAGAUUUUUGUUUCCUCAUUUCUUUCAAUUAGAUAGAAGAUGGGACGUGCUUUGUUGUAGUUUCCUCUUACUUUGACUAAGUAGGACAUUUUUUUGAAAUACCAAAUUGUGGUGUCGCUACCCCUACGCACCACGGUUUUGCAGCACCCUCAGCUAAAGUAAACCAUUCCAAGCCUACCAUACUCGAAACAUGGAAGCAUGCAAACUUCAGAGCAUCUUGGUGUCGCUGGCCACCCGAUCUCUACAACCACCACAAAAUGCUACAGGACCAACCAGGCCGGUGUCCUGACCACUGAAUCAUGUCACUGUGUGGGCGCCUAGAUCUCCCAUGUGUCUGUCUAAAGCCUGAGGGGCCAACCUCGCUCGAGCGUCGCCAGCCAGCACUCAUCUGCACAUGAACAAAUGGUUGGAUAUAUGUGCCUCCUCCGUCUCUUAUUCCCCGAAACAUAAUUUGAUGAGUAGAGUUUCUAAUCAUUUAUGGCACACUGGCAUAUGAUUAAACUGCACAAGUUAGAUUGACAUUUUGUGGAGAACGGUCGUCGGUUGGGAGCCUCGCCGUCUACCUCCACCAGCCGGCCCACACACCAUUGCUCCCCGCGUGUCGCGCCCCUCCCCGAACCAUCAUGCCUUCUAAUUAGUGUACGUGGUAGUCUGGUAAAAGUGGAGAAUAAUUCGGGUAAUGUCUAUGGAUGUACUACCAGUAUUGCGGCUAACCUGCCUGGCAGUGAGAUGCAUCUAGAUUAGAUCUGAUUACUGAUAUAGAAGAUGCAAUUAAUUAUCUAAAAUUUUCCUUGUACCAUUUUCCAUGAGAUUAAUGUAAUUGGGAAUACCAGUGCUUGUUUGAAUCAUUUAGUUAAAUAAUUUUAUAGAUAAAACUUGUAUUUGUAUGUUUUGGAAUUACUAUUAUCCUGGUAAAAUGACCACAAGUGAAAGGGUUGUAAAGAUUAAUUAUUCUUUGUGGAAGCAUUACUGGUCUAAUUAAUAGAUGUACAUGCAUCAAUAAUGUUGUUGAGCUUUAGUUGAUUCUAUAGUGUUGUACUAUUCGCAAAGUUCUAUUUUGAGAAAAAAAUGGCAAAUUCAAUAUUGUGCCAGCUAAAUGGCGCACCCGCUGUAGCAAGUGAGUUCCCAUCAAAAUCACCCUGAGCAUAUUUUUGCUGAUUUUCAUGAUUGCUCUUCUGCCAGGAACAAUGUUCCUGGCACUUCGACCACACAACUGUAUGUUCAUGUUCCAGUGUCCUUAUUCAUAGUUAAUUUCAAUCACAAAGUGACAAAUGUCAGUCUAUUAGUUAACAUGUGUAUCUCCGUUUCUUCUAAGUUUCAAUCGACCUACUCUGAAGUUGUUCCUAAGAUAGUGCCUCAAGCAAAGGGAAUGAGCCUCAGUUAGUGCAUCUAGCAAGUUCGUGAUCCUUUGUUGGGAUAAACAUUUGUGCAAGAGCAAUAGUCUCGUCACUAUUGGUUGUUAGUACUGUUGCUUGUUAAUUCUACUUUUUACUUCAGUUCGUAAUGCAAUAUAGUUAUGCUUGACGCACUAUAAGAAGACUGCCAUUUUGCCUUUUGACCUUGGUUUCUUCCUCCAGUAAGUAAAUGCACAUAGUUCUUUUGUAAAUUAGAGCAUACGACUUGUUGAUCGAUCUCUGAGCUCAGUAAUAAUAUUAAGCCUCAAUCUGUUUAUUGUGCACACAAGAUGAGAAAGAAUUGCUACCCAAGAAUAUGUACUUUAUAAACAUUUCAACUGUAAUCUGGAAAAAAAUUAAAUAAAUAAGGAAACAGUAUAUUCAUAUAUCUUUUUUGUACUUUGAUGGUGUCACACCACAAGUUCCGAGAUGGUAAUUGUGCUGCAUAUGUCUGCUCUCUUACUUUGUUUUUCUGAACAGGUAGGUUCUGGAAGAUGUCAUGAAGAAUUUCUUUCAGAGAAUUUGCGUGAGGAGUGUCUAAAUGAUUUUUAUCUUCUGAACAUAUUCUUGUAUGACUAACUGAAUUCAUUUUUUCAAAACGUCGGUACUUUUCCUUUUUCAUUUAUGUUGCUCGAUUGAGUCCACAUGCCUGCCCUUACUGAGUUUGCUCAAGAGUAAGAUAAACUUGAUAUUUAUGUUUGUCGGCAGCAGCGUGACUAGCUGAUCUGUAGCGGCGCGGAAGGUGAGCUUGGCUGCAGGUAGCAGCUCCUUUGGCUGAUCUGCGGCGAUGCAGAAGUUGGGUUGGAAAGAAGCACGACCGGCUGCUCUGAAGUGGGACGUAGGGAGAGCUUCGUAAGAGAUAGGGAGGGAGCUCUAUUGGCCCGUGCAUGACAUCCAACCCAAUGGCAUCAUGCCCUGGUAAGCUUCUUAUCUGUUCCAAUUCUUGCACUUGGUCUUUUUCUUUCUAACCCUAAAAAUAGAGUGUGCCUUGAUUCCUAAUCAUGCUUUAAAAGCUGAUAUCCACCUCGUUUAUCUUGCUACUAGUGGUAAUGUGUGCAAGUAUGAUUUUGUGAUAAUGCCAGAUGUUGUGUGCCUUCUUUAUUCAUGGUACGAGUACUCUAACCUGGCUCGUAUGAUAAUGUAUCACUGCUAUAGAGCACAAACGACGUGUUUUUUAAUUAUAUUUUAGUUGACAUGGAUUUCAUUUAUCUUGUGAAUUGUAUAGUCAGAUCAUGAAUUUUUAUGAUUGAUUGAUUUUCAUGGUCACAGGUAGGCAUGGUUGUGUGGCCACGGGGAAAAUGGAGCAAGUAGCAUGUGAGGAGUUUAACAAAUGGGGACAAGGGACAGUUUAGUUAAUUAAGGCUCUAUGUUAGUUUCAAGUUUUAUCCUUGUUGCGGUAAAAAAUUAUGGUUGGAUUAACCACCAUGUACAUCUUUAAUUACUUUUAAAUAAGAAAUAUAAUCAAAAUAUUCUUUUGAAUUGAUAAAAUUUAUAUAAUUUGUACAAGUACAUGAAGGUGGAACAGGAGGAAGGGUGGGAGAAGAUUAGAUAUCGUUUCAUUUUCUUGCAAGGAAAGGAUGGUUACGAAGAAAUGACAAGAAAUGGAGGGACAAUCAGUUUUAUUACUGUAUGGAUGGAAACCACAUGCCAGCUUGUCCAACAUAUUUCUACAUUGAGUCAAUUAUUCAAUCGCUAUAUUUUUUUUAUUCCAUGGCAAUGCAUGGUCAUUCAACUAUUCAAAUUUACGG